This 1647-nucleotide ribosomal RNA is filed under the name metagenome. Its description in RNAcentral is "bacterial LSU rRNA". It matches the Rfam family "Bacterial large subunit ribosomal RNA", at positions 1211 to 2925 of the family's 2925-position model. The record is from RNAcentral.
GUAGUUAUGCAAGUUGGUAGGGGAGCAUUCUAUUAUAGGGAGAAGCAUGACCGGAAGGACAUGUGGACGAGAUAGAAGAGAGAAUGCCGGAAUGAGUAGCGAGAAUUAUGUGAGAAUCAUAAUGGUCGAAAACCUAAGGUUUCUUGAGGAAGGUUCGUCCGCUCAAGGUAAGCCGGGAGCUAGGGCGAGGCCGAAAGGCGUAGUCGAUGCACAUACGGUAGAAAUCCCGUAGCCACCGAAAUUGUUAAGCACAGGGACGCAGGAACAUAAUCCAACCGCACCGAUGGUCGAGUGCGGCGAAAGGGAGCGAAAAUUAAGUAGCGAAGUGGAUGAUUGUACACUGACGAGAAAAGCUGUGUGGAUUGAUGAGGUGCCCGUACCGUAAACCGACACAGGUGGGUGAGGAGAGAAUCCUAAGACCAGCGGGAGAAGUGUUGUUAAGGAACUCGGCAAAUUGACCCCGUAACUUCGGGAAAAGGGGUGCCUGCUAGCGCAGGCCGCAGAGAAUAGGCCCAAGCGACUGUUUAGCAAAAACACAGGUCUCUGCUAAAUCGAAAGAUGAAGUAUAGGGGCUGACGCCUGCCCGGUGCCGGAAGGUUAAGAGGAGGACUUAGCGCAAGCGAAGGUCUGAAUUGAAGCCCCGGUAAACGGCGGCCGUAACUAUAACGGUCCUAAGGUAGCGAAAUUCCUUGUCAGGUAAGUUCUGACCCGCACGAAUGGCGUAACGAUUUGGGCACUGUCUCAACAACACACCCGGUGAAAUUGUAGUACCGGUGAAGAUGCCGGUUACCCGCGACUAGACGGAAAGACCCCAUGGAGCUUUACUGUAACUUGAUAUUGGAUUUUGGUAUUGCAUGUACAGGAUAGGUGGGAGACUGAGAAGCACAGACGCCAGUUUGUGUGGAGUCAAUGUUGGGAUACCACUCUUGUGAUACUGGAAUUCUAACCUGCGGCCGUGAAACCGGUCGGGGGACAAUGUCUGGUGGACAGUUUGACUGGGGCGGUCGCCUCCUAAAGAGUAACGGAGGCGUUCAAAGGUUAGCUCAGUACGGUCAGAAAUCGUACGAAGAGUGCAAACGCAAAAGCAAGCCUAACUGCGAGACGAACAGGUCGGGCAGUAACGAAAGUUGGAGUUAGUGAUCCGGCGGUAAGAGAGUGGAAUUGCCGUCGCUCAACGGAUAAAAGCUACCCUGGGGAUAACAGGCUGAUCUCCCCCAAGAGUCCAUAUCGACGGGGAGGUUUGGCACCUCGAUGUCGGCUCAUCGCAUCCUGGAGCUGGAGUCGGUUCCAAGGGUUGGGCUGUUCGCCCAUUAAAGCGGUACGCGAGCUGGGUUCAGAACGUCGCGAGACAGUUCGGUCCCUAUCUGUCGCGGGCGCAGGAAAUUUGAAGGGAGCUGUCCUUAGUACGAGAGGACCGGGAUGGACGUACCACUGGUGUACCAGUUGUCUUGCCAAAGGCACGGCUGGGUAGCUAAGUACGGAGGGAAUAAACGCUGAAGGCAUCUAAGCGUGAAGUCCCCCCUAAGAUAAGAUUUCCCAUUCUUUAAAAGAAGUAAGACCCCACGUAGACUAUGUGGUUGAUAGGUCGGAGGUGUAAGUGUGGUAACACAUUAAGCUGACCGAUACUAAUAGGUCGAGGGCUUGAUC